UGCCGAGUUACACUUGCCAACAGACAUAUAAAAGUUUCACCCAUUUGCCCUGCAUGCUUGAAUGGACCGGAGGAUACAAAACAUGUCUUGUUUUGGUCUCAGAAGGCGAAAGAAGUUUGGGAAAAAUUAGGCCUACAAGAGGUGUUCCAUAAAGCCUGUGUUGUUGAUCACGCGGGAGAGGCGGUGCUAGAAUUCUUACUCCUUAUGAAAGAUCAAGAUUUAAAUAUUAAGGGCAUCCGGAACGCACGUGAGUUAAUAACUAUUACAGCUUGGUAUCUAUGGUGGGAUAGA
This 291-nucleotide ribosomal RNA is filed under the name Triticum aestivum (bread wheat). Its description in RNAcentral is "partial small subunit ribosomal RNA". Lineage: Eukaryota; Viridiplantae; Streptophyta; Magnoliopsida; Poales; Poaceae. The record is from RNAcentral.